UUUUCACCCCAGGAAACCGUGUCUGGCCUUGAUUUAGAGCCUACUUACUCUUACUUCACUCAGAGUUUUAACAAGCUUAGUAGUACUUUGCAGUUCCCAGAGCAUCAGAAUUGCCAUAUAUUAUCCAAAAAGCCUAUUUAAUGUAAAAUGCAAUUUUAUAUUUGGAAAGGGGUAAAAAACUUAUUUUCCUAGGAUAAACUAGAAAAGAAAAAACUUGAAAAAUAUUUCCAGUUUGUGAGGAUUAGACAUCUCUAAAGGACAGGUAGAAACUUUUGCGUUUAUUAAAAUGUUUAAAUAUAAGAAUUAAAAUUUUAUUUAAAUAAUUUUAAAAGGAGGGAGUACAGGUUAAAACUAAGUCACACACCACAUAAUGACGUUUCAGUCAACCACAGACCACAUACGUGCUAGUGGUCCUUCAAUAUUAGCACCAUACAGCCCAGAUGUAUAGUAGGCUACACCAUCUGGGACUGUGUAAGUGUAAUCCACGACGUUCACAUGACACUGAAAUCACCUAGCAAUGCAUUUCUCAGAACGCAUCCCUGUUACUGUUAGGGGACACACGACUGUACUGAGAAACCUUGACCUUGGGCUUGAAGUCAGGGUUUAAAGCUCAGCUCCACCCCUUCCUAGCCAGGUGACUUUAGGCAAAUUAACGUCUUUGAGCCUCAGUUUCCUCAUCUGUAAGAAGGGGCUAAUAAUAGCACUAAUUCAUGAGUCUGCUCUGAGGAUUGAAUGAGACAAUCCAAGAGAAGCAUUUGACACGCAAAGCUCUCGGCAAAGAUGAGCAAACUCAUCAUCUACAACUUUGCAAACUCCUUGAAACCUCGACUCAGAAUGGCCCCCACAUAUCUCAUAUAUAAUAAAUGAUUAAGUUCAGUUUCCCAUUCAUUCAUUCAUUCAAAAAAUAUUUACUACAUAUCUUUUCUGGACCAGGUACCUUUCUGUUCCCUGGGAUAAAGAAGUAAACAAAAUACACAUUAUGUGAAUUUUAAUUCAGAUUACUAAACUAUGAUAGGUCAUUUUUUAAGUGUUCAGAGAAGUUACAUUAAUGGAGAGAAGAGUCACAAGGGAGGGUAUUUUUCAUUUUGAAGACUGCAAGACACACUGGAAUGAGGGUCUCGGGGCAAGAAAGCAAGUGAGGAGAGCAGGGCCCUAAAAUGAGGUCUCUGGCACUCAGACCUGCUGUCUACUGAAGGCCGGUUCUGAAUUCUACCAGGCUCUUUCUUCUGGCCAAAGCCACACUUACUUGAUGCUGUGUAGCUUUCUCGUGACUAUCACCGGAAAGUCAACUUCAAAAUAUUUCCUUGGGAGAAGACCCUCAUCCUGAGAAAAAACACAGUUAUCUUUAUAAUUAUUUAUUCAGUCAUAUAUUCACUGAUCAUCCUCACAGACCAAGUACCAAGGCCCGAGGAGCAAUGGGGUAUUUAAGGAUUUUAAAUCAGGGGAUGAUAUGGUCAGAAAUGCAUUUUCUAAAUUACUUUGGUCUCAGUAUGAGGAACAGAUGGCGCAAAAAAUUAGGAGGUUACUGUGGUCACCUAGGCAAGAAGUAAUGGGCAGCCAGAACUGGGGAAGCGUCCACUGGGAUGGAGUGGGGAGGAGCAGGAGGCACUCUGGACGUAGGAUGUAACAGGAAGCAGCUUGAGACCAAUUAGAGAGAGUCAGGAAAUCAGUGUAGUGGGUAUGGACAAGAAUCUUUUGGAUGAAAUGAAAUAAAAUAGCAAAUAUCAGAAAGCAUCACAUGAGGUGAGGGUAAGUACUAUUUUGUAAUAUAUUUAUUUUUUUCUCUGACAGUGGAGUAUACUGGGGUGGUAAAGGACAGGGACUCUGCAGCCCGGGCGGACAGGGUUCAAAUCCCAGCUCCACCACUUGUUCACUCUGAGGCCUUGGGAAAGUCACUAAACUCCCUGAGCCAAGGCUUCCUCAUUUGAAAAGUAGAGAAAAUGAUACCACCUCGUGGGGUUGUGAGGAUUAAUGAGGAAAUACAGGAGUGAGAGAACAGGGCCUGCACCUAGUAAGCACCAUGUGUGUGCCCUUAUUAUUUAGACAUCAGUACAUAGAUGUGGGUGCUAGAUUGGGAUAUACAUUUAUUUUUUACUGUGAGCUGCAGUAAAAAAAAAAAAACUGUGAAAACCUCACACAUAGAGACACACACACACGGCCCUGCUUCCCCCUUCUGCUUCCCUAGCUGGGUGGUACUAUCCCCUCCUCCCCACAGUCACUCACUGGUCAUCCUAGAAUUCUCUCCGUCUCCACCCUGUUUGAUCAGUCACUCAGCCCUGCCUGCUGACUAUCCUAGAAGGCAUCCUCUCCUCUUCCGCUCUGUCCCCAACUGCACAGACUCUAACAACAUCCCUUUCUGAUCUCUUUCAACGACACACUUCAUGUUGCCUGCAGCAGCUCUUCCCACCUCUAAGAUUGAGCUAAGAUGCUGGGUGCUCCACAACCUGGCCCACCUGCCCACCUUCUGGCCUAGUACUCUUUUAACAUCCCUGCUCCCAUCUGUGCUUAUAUUCCAGAAAUACAGAACUACUUAUUUAAAAAGAAAGUUGCUGAUAUCCAGAACCUGGUGUGGUGUCAAUAGAGGGUGGGAUAAAGAAAAAGGAGGAGUAAGGAUGGCACCCUUGUUUCUGCCCUGAGCAACUGGGCAGGAGAGAGAACCAUUUAUGUAGACAGUAGUAAGAGAUGGAGAGCAGUAUGGAGGGGCAGCAGACCCCCUGAUGGGACAGCAUGAUGGGAAUGGAAAUCAUGAGCAAGCAUUUCCUAGUAGGAAGGUGACCCCUAAGGGCAAGUGUCAGAAAUGUGAGAUCCAGCUCCCCCACCCUAUGCAGACACUAGUCCUCAGUUAAAGUCCUAGGGGAUCUGGAGGGGUGGGGGAGGAGGAAGGAAGAGAGGGAGGGAGAGAGGGAAGGAUGGGGCAAGAGAAAGAGAGAGAGAAGAGAGGAAGGAAAGGAAGGUACGAGGGAGGCAGUGGCGGAGGGUGGGGGGAGGAAUAAACAAGACAGUUUCCUGACAUCAGAGGAGCUCCCGCCUAUCAGCAGAGUAGGGCUAUGUAAUCUAUUUGAAGAUCCGUGGAGGACGUGUUUAGAGCAUGUGUGGAAAUCGCACCUCCCACCUGGCGUGGUUCCCUGGUGGGAGGUGCAUGAGACAACAAGACCAACAGACAACAUUUUCCUCACUCUUUUAUAGGAGCACAUAUAUUUCUAAAACAGGGAUUAGCAAACUUUCUGUAAAGAGUCAGAAAUAAGUAUUUUAGCCUGUGAAGGCCAGACGGUCUGUCAUAACUGCUGAACUCCGCGGUCACAGUGCUAAAGCAGCCACAGAGAAUAUGGAAAUAAAUGGGAG
Long non-coding RNA from Equus caballus (horse), 3342 nucleotides. The record is from Ensembl. Lineage: Eukaryota; Metazoa; Chordata; Mammalia; Perissodactyla; Equidae.